RNAcentral lists this ribosomal RNA (711 nucleotides) under Rossellomorea vietnamensis. RNAcentral describes it as "bacterial SSU rRNA". It matches the Rfam family "Bacterial small subunit ribosomal RNA", at positions 74 to 768 of the family's 1533-position model. The record is from RNAcentral. Lineage: Bacteria; Bacillati; Bacillota; Bacilli; Caryophanales; Bacillaceae.
GGGAGCUUGCUCCCUGAGAUCAGCGGCGGACGGGUGAGUAACACGUGGGUAACCUGCCUGUAAGACUGGGAUAACUCCGGGAAACCGGGGCUAAUACCGGAUAACUCAGUUCCUCGCAUGAGGAACUGUUGAAAGGUGGCUUUCAGCUACCACUUACAGAUGGACCCGCGGCGCAUUAGCUAGUUGGUGAGGUAACGGCUCACCAAGGCAACGAUGCGUAGCCGACCUGAGAGGGUGAUCGGCCACACUGGGACUGAGACACGGCCCAGACUCCUACGGGAGGCAGCAGUAGGGAAUCUUCCGCAAUGGACGAAAGUCUGACGGAGCAACGCCGCGUGAGUGAAGAAGGUUUUCGGAUCGUAAAACUCUGUUGUUAGGGAAGAACAAGUGCCGUUCGAAUAGGGCGGCACCUUGACGGUACCUAACCAGAAAGCCACGGCUAACUACGUGCCAGCAGCCGCGGUAAUACGUAGGUGGCAAGCGUUGUCCGGAUUUAUUGGGCGUAAAGCGCGCGCAGGUGGUUUCUUAAGUCUGAUGUGAAAGCCCACGGCUCAACCGUGGAGGGUCAUUGGAAACUGGGGAACUUGAGUGCAGAAGAGGAAAGUGGAAUUCCAAGUGUAGCGGUGAAAUGCGUAGAUAUUUGGAGGAACACCAGUGGCGAAGGCGACUUUCUGGUCUGUAACUGACACUGAGGCGCGAAAGCGUGGGGAG